ACCGGAGCUUGCUCCACCGAAAGAAAAAGAGUGGCGAACGGGUGAGUAACACGUGGGUAACCUGCCCAUCAGAAGGGGAUAACACUUGGAAACAGGUGCUAAUACCGUAUAACACUAUUUUCCGCAUGGAAGAAAGUUGAAAGGCGCUUUUGCGUCACUGAUGGAUGGACCCGCGGUGCAUUAGCUAGUUGGUGAGGUAACGGCUCACCAAGGCAACGAUGCAUAGCCGACCUGAGAGGGUGAUCGGCCACACUGGGACUGAGACACGGCCCAGACUCCUACGGGAGGCAGCAGUAGGGAAUCUUCGGCAAUGGACGAAAGUCUGACCGAGCAACGCCGCGUGAGUGAAGAAGGUUUUCGGAUCGUAAAACUCUGUUGUUAGAGAAGAACAAGGAUGAGAGUAAAAUGUUCAUCCCUUGACGGUAUCUAACCAGAAAGCCACGGCUAACUACGUGCCAGCAGCCGCGGUAAUACGUAGGUGGCAAGCGUUGUCCGGAUUUAUUGGGCGUAAAGCGAGCGCAGGCGGUUUCUUAAGUCUGAUGUGAAAAGCCCCCGGCUCAACCGGGGAGGGUCAUUGGAAACUGGGACACUUGAGUGCAGAAGAGGAGAGUGAAAUUCCAUGUGUAGCGGUGAAAUGCGUAUAUAUAUGAAGGAACACCAGUGGCGAAGGCGGCUCUCUGGUCUGUAACUGACGCUGAGGCUCGAAAGCGUGGGGAGCAAACCAGGAAUAGAUACCCUGGUAGUCCCACCCCGUAAACCAUGAACGCUAAGUGUUGGAGGGGUUUCCGCCCUUCAAUUGCUGCAGCAAACGCAUUAAGCACUCCGCCUGGGGAGUACGACCGCCAAGGUUGAAACUCAAAGGAAUUGACGGGGGCCCGCACAAGCGGUGAGCAUUGGUUUAAUUCGAAGCAACGCGAAGAACCUUACCAGGUCUUGACUCCUUGGCCACUCUAGAGAUAGAGCUUUUCCUUCGGGGAUAAAGUGACAGGUGGUGCAUGGUGUCGUCAGCUCGUGUCGUGAGAUGUUGGGUUAAGUCCCGAACGAGCGCAACCCUUAUUGUUAGUUGCCAUCAUUUAGUUGGCACUCUAGCGAGACUGCCGGUGACAAACCGGAGGAAGGGGGGGAUGACGUCAAACAUCAUGCCCCU
RNAcentral lists this ribosomal RNA (1147 nucleotides) under Enterococcus casseliflavus. Its description in RNAcentral is "bacterial SSU rRNA". It matches the Rfam family "Bacterial small subunit ribosomal RNA", at positions 72 to 1202 of the family's 1533-position model. Lineage: Bacteria; Bacillati; Bacillota; Bacilli; Lactobacillales; Enterococcaceae. The record is from RNAcentral.